CGGAGGAUCCAAGCGUUAUCCGGAUUUAUGGGUUUAAAGGGUGCGUAGGCGGCCUGUUAAGUCAGGGGUGAAAGACGGUAGCUCAACUAUCGCAGUGCCCUUGAUACUGAUGGGCUUGAAUGGACUAGAGGUAGGCGGAAUGAGACAAGUAGCGGUGAAAUGCAUAGAUAUGUCUCAGAACACCGAUUGCGAAGGCAGCUUACUAUGGUCUUAUUGACGCUGAGGCACGAAAGCGUGGGGAUCAAACAGGAUUAGAUACCCUGGUAGUCCACGCCCUAAACGAUGAACACUCGCUGUUGGCGAUACACAGUCAGCGGCUAAGCGAAAGCGUUAAGUGUUCCACCUGGGGAGUACGCUCGCAAGAGUG
RNAcentral lists this ribosomal RNA (367 nucleotides) under uncultured organism. RNAcentral's name for it is "bacterial SSU rRNA". It matches the Rfam family "Bacterial small subunit ribosomal RNA", at positions 526 to 896 of the family's 1533-position model. The record is from RNAcentral.